CAUUUUUAGAUUUAAUUAAAAACAACUUCUGCUCAAUGACCUUAAAUAGCUGCAGCUAACGCUGUACUAAGGUAGCACAAUCACUUGCCUUAUAAUUAAAGGAUCGCAUAAAAGAAAAAACGAAUUUUAAACUCUACCAAAAAUUAAUAUUAAAAUUUUAAUAAAAGUAAAAAUACUUUUAAACAUAAAAAAGACGACAAGACCCUAAGAACUAAACUAAAGUUUAACUGGGGCGGUUACAUAAAAAAAUCUUAUUCUACUCACACAAAAAUAAAAAGUUACCCUAGGGAUAACAGCAUAAUUUAUUUCUAAAGUUCUUAUUUACAAAUAAGAUUAUGACCUCGAUGUUGAAUUAAAAAAUCUAUAAAUAUGCAAUAAUAUUAAAAGACAGUCUGUUCGACU
RNAcentral lists this ribosomal RNA (402 nucleotides) under Mesostalita nocturna. Its description in RNAcentral is "partial large subunit ribosomal RNA". It matches the Rfam family "Bacterial large subunit ribosomal RNA", at positions 1891 to 2586 of the family's 2925-position model. The record is from RNAcentral. Lineage: Eukaryota; Metazoa; Arthropoda; Arachnida; Araneae; Dysderidae.